UACGUAGGUGGCGAGCGUUGUCCGGAUUUACUGGGUGUAAAGGGAGCGUAGGCGGGCUUUUAAGUGAGAUGUGAAAUACUCGGGCUCAACUUGAGUGCUGCAUUUCAAACUGGAAGUCUAGAGUGCAGGAGAGGAGAGUGGAAUUCCAUGUGUAGCGGUGAAAUGCGUAGAUAUAUGGAGGAACACCGGUGGCGAAAGCGGCUCUCUGGCCUGUAACUGACACUGAGGCUCGAAAGCGUGGGGAGCAAACAGG
This 253-nucleotide ribosomal RNA is filed under the name uncultured bacterium. Its description in RNAcentral is "partial 16S ribosomal RNA". It matches the Rfam family "Bacterial small subunit ribosomal RNA", at positions 524 to 776 of the family's 1533-position model. The record is from RNAcentral.